This 625-nucleotide ribosomal RNA is filed under the name Neoprotoparmelia pulchra. Its description in RNAcentral is "eukaryotic LSU rRNA". It matches the Rfam family "Eukaryotic large subunit ribosomal RNA", at positions 317 to 962 of the family's 3401-position model. Lineage: Eukaryota; Fungi; Ascomycota; Lecanoromycetes; Lecanorales; Parmeliaceae. The record is from RNAcentral.
UAAAUACCGGCUGGAGACCGAUAGCGCACAAGUAGAGUGAUCGAAAGAUGAAAAGCCCUUUGGAAAGAGAGUUAAAAAGCACGUGAAAUUGUUGAAAGGGAAGCGCUUGCGACCAGACCUGCCCGUGGGUGAUCAGCCGCCGUUCUCGGCGGUGCACUCGCCCGCGAUCAGGCCAGCAUCGGUUCGAGCGGCCGGACAAAGGCCGCGGGAAUGUAGCUUCCUCCGGGGAGUCUUAUAGCCCGCGGCGCAAUGCGGCCAGCCCGGAUCGAGGACCGCGCUUCGGCUAGGAUGCUGGCGUAAUGGUUGCAAGCGACCCGUCUUGAAACACGGACCAAGGAGUCUAACAUCUAUGCGAGUGUUUGGGUGUCAAACCCAUGCGCGUAAUGAAAGUAAACGGAGGUGAGAACCCGUCAGGGCGCAUCAUCGACCGAUCCUGAUGUCUUCGGAUGGAUUUGAGUACGAGCAUAGCUGUUUGGACCCGAAAGAUGGUGAACUAUGCCUGAAUAGGGUGAAGCCAGAGGAAACUCUGGUGGAGGCUCGCAGCGGUUCUGACGUGCAAAUCGAUCGUCAAAUUUGGGUAUAGGGGCGAAAGACUAAUCGAACCAUCUAGUAGCUGGUUCCUGCC